GGAGAGAUGUCCGAGUGGUUGAAGGAGCACGCCUGGAAAGCGUGUGUAGGGGAAACUCUACCAGGAGUUCGAAUCUCCUUCUCUCCG
Molecule: transfer RNA, 87 nt
Filed under: Clostridium tetanomorphum
Lineage: Bacteria; Bacillati; Bacillota; Clostridia; Eubacteriales; Clostridiaceae
Rfam family: tRNA
About the family: Transfer RNA (tRNA) molecules are approximately 80 nucleotides in length.
Source: Rfam by way of RNAcentral